AUUGCUUCUCAGCCUUUUGGCUAAGAUCAAGUAUAGUAUCUGUUUUUAUCAGUUUAAUUUCUGCUACAUCCUCUAUCUGAGGACAAUAUAUUAAAUGGAUUUUUGGAACUAGGAGGUGAAAUAGGAGCUUGCUUCAUCCACUCCACACAUCCACUUGGUAUCUCAGUACCUCCAGGAACAGUGCAGCCAUC
Hyaena hyaena (striped hyena) is the source of this 191-nucleotide small nuclear RNA. RefSeq annotates it as U2 spliceosomal RNA. Lineage: Eukaryota; Metazoa; Chordata; Mammalia; Carnivora; Hyaenidae. The transcript has a single exon. The record is from RefSeq and is a predicted model, not a curated record.